This 904-nucleotide ribosomal RNA is filed under the name uncultured bacterium. Its description in RNAcentral is "bacterial SSU rRNA". It matches the Rfam family "Bacterial small subunit ribosomal RNA", at positions 33 to 953 of the family's 1533-position model. The record is from RNAcentral.
ACGCUGACAGAAUGCUUAACACAUGCAAGUCAACUUGAAUUUGGGUUUAUAACUUAGGUUUGGGUGGCGGACGGGUGAGUAACGCGUAAAGAACUUGCCUCACAGCUAGGGACAACAUUUAGAAAUGAAUGCUAAUACCUAAUAUUAUGGUUAUAGGGCAUCCUAUAAUUAUGAAAGCUAAAUGCACUGUGAGAGAGCUUUGCGUCCCAUUAGCUAGUUGGAGAGGUAACAGCUCACCAAGGCGAUGAUGGGUAGCCGGCCUGAGAGGGUGAACGGCCACAAGGGGACUGAGACACGGCCCUUACUCCUACGGGAGGCAGCAGUGGGGAAUAUUGGACAAUGGACCGAGAGUCUGAUCCAGCAAUUCUGUGUGCACGAUGAAGUUUUUCGGAAUGUAAAGUGCUUUCAGUUGGGAAGAAAAAAAUGACGGUACCAACAGAAGAAGUGACGGCUAAAUACGUGCCAGCAGCCGCGGUAAUACGUAUGUCACGAGCGUUAUCCGGAUUUAUUGGGCGUAAAGCGCGUCUAGGUGGUUAUGUAAGUCUGAUGUGAAAAUGCAGGGCUCAACUCUGUAUUGCGUUGGAAACUGAAUAACUAGAGUACUGGAGAGGUAAGCGGAACUACAAGUGUAGAGGUGAAAUUCGUAGAUAUUUGUAGGAAUGCCGAUGGGGAAGCCAGCUUACUGGACAGAUACUGACGCUAAAGCGCGAAAGCGUGGGUAGCAAACAGGAUUAGAUACCCUGGUAGUCCACGCUGUAAACGAUGAUUACUAGGUGUUGGGGGUCGAACCUCAGCGCCCAAGCAAACGCGAUAAGUAAUCCGCCUGGGGAGUACGUACGCAAGUAUGAAACUCAAAGGAAUUGACGGGGACCCGCACAAGCGGUGGAGCAUGUGGUUUAAUUCG